CCUACGGGUGGCAGCAGUGAGGAAUAUUGGUCAAUGGACGGGAGACUGAACCAGCCAAGUCGCGUGAAGGAGGAAUGCACUGUGUGUUGUAAACUUCUUUUAUCAAGGAAUAAAACGAGGCACGUGUGCCUGUUUGCAUGUACUUUAUGAAUAAGGAUCGGCUAACUCCGUGCCAGCAGCCGCGGUAAUACGGAGGAUCCGAGCGUUAUCCGGAUUUAUUGGGUUUAAAGGGUGCGUAGAUGGGUUGUUAAGUCAGUUGUGAAAGUUUGCGGCUCAACCGUAAAAUUGCAAUUGAUACUGGCAGUCUUGAGUACAGUUGAGGUAGGCGGAAUGCGUGGUGUAGCGGUGAAAUGCUUAGAUAUCACGAAGAACCCCGAUUGCGAAGGCAGCUUACUAAACUGUGACUGACACUGAUGCUCGAAAGUGUGGGUAUCAAACAGGAUUAGAUACCCGGGUAGUC
RNAcentral lists this ribosomal RNA (460 nucleotides) under uncultured bacterium. RNAcentral's name for it is "partial 16S ribosomal RNA". It matches the Rfam family "Bacterial small subunit ribosomal RNA", at positions 338 to 795 of the family's 1533-position model. The record is from RNAcentral.